GUUUCAAUCAAUUUCCCAAACAUUAACCCCAAACCUCCACAGACUCAAAGUUUGGAGUGAAGCUGCUGCUGCUUCUUCUUCUCCAACGCUUGAGAGUAGAGACCAGAGAGGAAGUCACCGUCACGGAGAGAGGCAGAGAGCAGAUCAGUAGAGCUUCUUCUUCUCCGACGAUUGAGAAAACCCGCCGUCCUCCGUCAGAGAGCAGAGCUUCUUCUUCUUCUCCUCCUCCGCCGAGCCUGCUGCCGCGCCAUCCUGUUCAUGGAAGAAUCAUCUCUUGCAGUCUGAGAUUAAUCAAUAAUUUUGUAGAAGAAAAGAAGAUACCCGAGCUAUUGAAGACAUUUCCAAAUGCAUCGAAGUUUCUCAAGACACUUGUGGCUGGUUUUGAGGUAUGCAAUUCUCAAUUUGGAAGUUAUUCAAGCAGCAAUCUCUUUGGCCAAACAGGAAGGUCUUCUUGUUUCUUUGGAUUUGGCCAGUUUUGAGAUGGUGAGGAAAUUUAAGCCACCACUUAUGAAGUUAUUGGAGUCUGGCAAUAUAGACCUCUGUUUUGCCAAUCAGGAUGAAGCAACGAAACUUCAAUUAACAUGACUAACUAUACAAUCAUGGUAGUUUGGUUCACACUGCAGGAAUUUGUUCUCAAGCCAUUGCCUCCCAAUAUAGUGCAUAUCAGGAUCUGAUUCAUGAAGCUUUCUAAAGAAAGCUAGUGUUCUCAUUGCUCUUGCAAUGGCUGCUGGCACUGGAGGGGUACAAUGAUUGCUAUAUUCAUAGUGCUAUGUUUUGCUCAUAUUAUUGUAGAUUCUAGAUUGGCCAUCAAUAGCAUUUUUAAUGACUUUGAAGGUCUGGCCAUAAUAAAUAUGGAAGUUCACAGCAUCCUCCACCUUUGAGAAGCUGCUCACUUUUGUUGGGGUGGUCCCUCCACAAACACCUCCACAACAGCUCAAGACCCAAACCAAUGCCAAGAGAGAGAACAAGGCUUGAAGCCAAGAACUACAAGGAGUUGAGUCCAUGAAGGUGAAUGAAUGAUAAAUUAUGUUAAGAGAAAAGUUGUGAAGGGGUGUGGGGUUGAAUAAUUAAGAAAUGAUAAAUCUAACUACAUCUUUCUAUAUGGUCCUGAAAUCCUAUAUCAUAUGAUGUCCUUUGAGACUGUAUUUGUGAUUUGGUUGUAGCUUCUCCUGUGGAGGAUUACUUUUUAUACAUUGAUGAUCAGAAAAAUCCUGAAAAGGAAGAAGCUGAGAAAAUUACACAACCAAUUUUAGAUGCUUUUGGUGAAGACUGAAGACUAUUCUAUUUGUUGCCAAGUAUUGAGAAGCAGCCCCCACAUCAAAAAAUUUGAAAAGUUGGAAUAAAUAUGGUUGUUUGAGACGGAGAUUGCGGCCGCGGCCGUGGCCGAGACCGAGGCCGAAAGGGGAAGCCUAGGUUAUUUAGACUUGGAUGAUUCUGACGAUCUUGAUGACUCGGAUGAUUAUUUAGACGAGUAUGAGUAGGUUAUUUAAUUACUUUGCUUUGAAUAUUUUGUAUUAUUAGUGGAUUUCAAUUUAAACGAAUAUAAGUCUAAGUUUAAUUAUUUA
This is a non-coding RNA of Arachis ipaensis, 1565 nucleotides long. The record is from RefSeq and is a predicted model, not a curated record. NCBI's taxonomy places the organism in Eukaryota, Viridiplantae, Streptophyta, Magnoliopsida, Fabales, Fabaceae.